Molecule: ribosomal RNA, 387 nt
Filed under: uncultured bacterium
Lineage: Bacteria
Description: bacterial SSU rRNA
Rfam family: Bacterial small subunit ribosomal RNA
Source: RNAcentral
GACGAACGCUGGCGGCGUGCUUAACACAUGCAAGUCGAGCGGUAAGGCCCUUUCGGGGGUACACGAGCGGCGAACGGGUGAGUAACACGUGGGUGACCUGCCCUCAGCUCUGGGAUAAGCCUGGGAAACCGGGUCUAAUACCGGAUAUGACUCCAUGACGCAUGUUGUGGGGUGGAAAGCCUUGUGCGGCUGAGGAUGGGCCCGCGGCCUAUCAGCUUGUUGGUGGGGUGAUGGCCUACCAAGGCGACGACGGGUAGCCGGCCUGAGAGGGCGACCGGCCACACUGGGACUGAGACACGGCCCAGACUCCUACGGGAGGCAGCAGUGGGGAAUCUUGGACAAUGGGCGCAAGCCUGAUCCAGCCAUGCCGCGUGAGUGACGAAGGCC